UACGUAGGUGGCAAGCGUUGUCCGGAAUUAUUGGGGCGUAAAGCGUGCGCAGGCGGCCUCUUAAGUCUGAUGUGAAAGCCCCCGGCUCAACCGGGGAGGGCCAUUGGAAACUGGGAGGCUUGAGUAUAGGAGAGAAGAGUGGAAUUCCACGUGUAGCGGUGAAAUGCGUAGAGAUGUGGAGGAACACCAGUGGCGAAGGCGACUCUUUGGCCUAUAACUGACGCUGAGGCGCGAAAGCGUGGGGAGCAAACAGG
Molecule: ribosomal RNA, 254 nt
Filed under: uncultured bacterium
Lineage: Bacteria
Description: partial 16S ribosomal RNA
Rfam family: Bacterial small subunit ribosomal RNA
Source: RNAcentral